GCCUAUGGCCAUACCACCCUGAAAACGCCCAAUCUUGUCUAAUCUCGGAUGCUAAACAGGGUCGGGCCUGGUUAGCACUUGGAUGGGAGGCAGAGACCAGCCCAUAGGCA
RNAcentral lists this ribosomal RNA (110 nucleotides) under Prolemur simus (greater bamboo lemur). The record is from RNAcentral. Lineage: Eukaryota; Metazoa; Chordata; Mammalia; Primates; Lemuridae.